UACGGAGGGGGCGAGCGUUAUUCGGAAUUAUUGGGCGUAAAGGGCGCGUAGGCGGCUGUACAAGUCAAAGGUGAAAUGCCUCGGCUCAACUGAGGAACUGCCUUUGAAACUGUACGGCUUGAGGCCGGGAGGGGGUAGCGGAAUUCCCAGUGUAGCGGUGAAAUGCGUAGAUACUGGGAGGAACACCAGUGGCGAAGGCGGCUACCUGGACCGGUUCUGACGCUGAGGCGCGAAAGCGUGGGUAGCAAACAGG
Molecule: ribosomal RNA, 253 nt
Filed under: uncultured bacterium
Lineage: Bacteria
Description: partial 16S ribosomal RNA
Rfam family: Bacterial small subunit ribosomal RNA
Source: RNAcentral